Molecule: long non-coding RNA, 1758 nt
Filed under: Ananas comosus (pineapple)
Lineage: Eukaryota; Viridiplantae; Streptophyta; Magnoliopsida; Poales; Bromeliaceae
Description: long non-coding RNA (ACOM_LNC012350)
Source: RNAcentral
CAUUGAUCCGACUCCAAAUCCGAAAUCCGAAAUCCAAACCCGACGGAUAUUGAAAAUCCAUAUCCAAAACCCGAAAUCCGAAUCCGAACCCGAAACAAUUAUUUCUCUUUGCAAUAUUUCAAAAUAUAUUAUAUUAAAUUUAAAUUUUUAAAAUACAAAUUCAAAUAUAAUAUUAAAUUUUCAUAUACAUAUUAUAUAUAAUGUAAAAUAAAUUCGGAUUCGGAUCGAGUUCGGGUCGGGUUCGGGUUCGGGUUCGGGUCAGAUACAGUCAAAAUCUAUAUCCGUAUCCAUAUUCGUCGGGUUUUUAUUUUUGAUAUCCAUAUUCGGAAUCAUAUCAAUUUAGCAUUGGGUAAAUUCGCUCGGUUUGGAUUUGGGUUCGAAUAAAAUUUUAGGUAUUCGUACCUAUUGACACCCUUACUCGUUCUCGGUAGAAGCAGGAUGUCACGGGCUAACGCGAAAUUGCUCGUCUAGCUCGUGCGACGCUCCUUUUCUUCGGCGCUCCCUUUUUUUGCGAAAUGUGUAAGCUUAUCUCUCUACUUGCUAAAUCAGGACUGACUCGCCCUAAGACUAAGUACAAGCUAAGAGAGAGAGUUUGAGAAAUAUAGUAUUGAUAGAAGUUGAGGGCGUGUUUGGUUCGAAGUCAGAAUCGAAAUCGGAAUCGGAAUCAAAAUAAGCUGGAAUUAGAAUCGGAAUGACUUAUUAACUAAUUAUGUUUGGUUCAUCACCUGAAUCGGAAUCGGAAUAAAUCAUUCCCAUUGUCGGUGUUUGGUUCAGGUGGAUAUAAAAAAUGUAAUCAAAUUAAUAUACUAACAUUAUCUUUAUAAUAUAUUAAUUUAAAUUCAAAUUAAAAAUUAAAUAUUAAAAAUUUACAUCAAAAUUUUGAAAUAAUGCCAAAAUUUUAAAUCUAUUUUUUUUAAAAAAAAUUAAACUUUGAAGUUGAGUGGAUAAUUCAAAAUAUGAAACUAAAUUUUGAUUUAUUCAAAUUCAAAUUUAAAAUUACAACUUAAAUUUUAAUUUGAAUCCAUAAAUUUAAUUUAAGUUUGAAAUAAAAUUUGAAUAACAUUUUAUAUAAAUUAAAAUUUAAUUUAAAUUCAAAUUCAUAAGUUAGAUUCGAAAUACUUGAUUAAAUUUUAAUUUUUAAUUUAAGUUUAAAUUAAAAUUUAAAAUUAUAUAUUUAAUUUUUAAAUUUUAACUCAUAUUUUAAUUAAAAAAGUUGAAAAAAUAAAUUUAAUCCGAAUAAAUAUCCAUUCAGUCCAGAUUCAACUUUCAAUCCGGCCUCCUAGGCCGGAUUGAACAAAGAGGUGAUUGGGGGAUUCCCAUUCCACUCGGGAAUUGGAAUCGGAAUGGAACUCCCGCGUACCAAAUACCAACAAACGGAUUUAUCCAUUCCGAUUCCGAUUCCAGGGUGAAGAAGAAGCGAAUCAAACAAGCCCUGAGAGUACAACUGAUUUCCUAAUAAGAGGGGGUGAAGGCAACAUCCUUAUAUAGGCCACUAGCCACCCAAGCUACAAAUGAAAAGGCACCAAUAACUAUAAGGCAAAAGAGGAAAGCUACGUGCUCUCAAGAGACUACCAUUAUUACCCACUUAGAAACUUUAAGGGACUCUUGACCCUUCGUCAUCCGCACCAUCAAUUCUGAGAUCCGUAUAGAAGCUUCUAGAAUGCCCUAACAAAACAUCCGACAAAACGCUCCUUCGGAGAUUGGGCCACUGUAAAAAAAAAAGUCAACGGAAAAUUUUUUGUCCGUGACAAUCUUAUU